RNAcentral lists this ribosomal RNA (462 nucleotides) under uncultured bacterium. Its description in RNAcentral is "bacterial SSU rRNA". It matches the Rfam family "Bacterial small subunit ribosomal RNA", at positions 29 to 506 of the family's 1533-position model. The record is from RNAcentral.
AUUAACGCUGGCGGUAUGUAUAAUACAUGCAAGUCGCGCGCUCCACACUUAGUCUACAAUUUGUUUUGCAGGUUAAGUGUGGAGAGCGGCGAACGGGUGAGUAACACGUUGGAAUCUGCCCCAAACUCAGGGAUAACUCCGCGAAAGCGGGGCUAAUACCGGAUAGUCUCGAGAGAGUAAAGCUACGGCGGUUUGGGAGGAGCCUGCGGCCUAUCAGCUAGUUGGUGAGGUAAUGGCUCACCAAGGCUAUGACGGGUAGCUGGUCUGAGAGGACGACCAGUCACAAUGGGACUGAGACACGGCCCAUACUCCUACGGGAGGCAGCAGUAAAGAAUCUUCCGCAAUGGACGAAAGUCUGACGGAGCAAUACCGCGUGGGUGAAGAAGGUCGAAAGGUUGUAAAGCCCUUUUCUGGGGGAAUAAUUCUGAAGGUACCCUAGGAAUAAGCACCGGCUAACUCCGU